RNAcentral lists this ribosomal RNA (789 nucleotides) under uncultured bacterium. RNAcentral's name for it is "bacterial SSU rRNA". It matches the Rfam family "Bacterial small subunit ribosomal RNA", at positions 8 to 796 of the family's 1533-position model. The record is from RNAcentral.
AGAGUUUGAUCAUGGCUCAGGAUGAACGCUAGCGGCAGGCAUAAUACAUGCAAGUUGAACGGGAUCCAUCAGCAAUGGUGGUGAGAGUGGCGCACGGGUGCGUAACACGUAUGCAACCUGCCUCAAACCGGGGAAUAGCCCGUGGAAACAUGGAUUAAUAUCCCAUAAGAUAGUGGAAAGGCAUCUUUCAGCUAUUAAAACUCCGGUGGUUUGAGAUGGGCAUGCGCGACAUUAGCUAGAUGGCGGGGUAACGGCCCACCAUGGCUACGAUGUCUAGGGGGUCUGAGAGGAUGUCCCCCCACACUGGUACUGAGACACGGACCAGACUCCUACGGGAGGCAGCAGUAGGGAAUAUUGGUCAAUGGGCGCAAGCCUGAACCAGCCAUGCCGCGUGCAGGAAGACGGCCCUAUGGGUUGUAAACUGCUUUUAUCAGGGAAGAAACCCCCGAACGUGUUCGGGGCUGACGGUACUUGAAGAAUAAGGAUCGGCUAACUCCGUGCCAGCAGCCGCGGUAAUACGGAGGAUCCAAGCGUUGUCCGGAUUUAUUGGGUUUAAAGGGUGCGUAGGCGGAAUAAUAAGUCAGAGGUGAAAGCCGGUAGCUCAACUAUCGAAUUGCCUUUGAAACUGUUAUUCUUGAGUUUUGUUGAGGUAGGCGGAAUGUAUCAUGUAGCGGUGAAAUGCUUAGAUAUGAUACAGAACACCGAUUGCGAAGGCAGCUUACUAAGCAAAAACUGACGCUGAGGCACGAAAGCGUGGGGAUCAAACAGGAUUAGAUACCCUAGUAGUCC